CAAGUGAAGAAGCGCAUACGGUGGAUGCCUUGGCAGUCAGAGGCGAUGAAAGACGUGAUAGCCUGCGAUAAGCUUCGGGGAGUCGGCAAAUAGACUGUGAUCCGGAGAUCUCUGAAUGGGGGAACCCACCUAGGAUAACCUAGGUAUCUUGUACUGAAUCCAUAGGUGCAAGAGGCGAACCAGGGGAACUGAAACAUCUAAGUACCCUGAGGAAUAGAAAUCAACCGAGAUUCCCUUAGUAGUGGCGAGCGAACGGGGACCAGCCCUUAAGCUGUGUUGAGAUUAGUGGAACGCUCUGGAAAGUGCGGCCAUAGUGGGUGAUAGCCCCGUACACGAAAAUCUCUUUGCAGUGAAAUCGAGUAGGACGGAGCACGAGAAACUUUGUCUGAACAUGGGGGGACCAUCCUCCAAGGCUAAAUACUACUGACUGACCGAUAGUGAACCAGUACCGUGAGGGAAAGGCGAAAAGAACCCCGGAGAGGGGAGUGAAAUAGAACCUGAAACCGUAUGCGUACAAGCAGUGGGAGCAGACUUUGUUCUGUGACUGCGUACCUUUUGUAUAAUGGGUCAGCGACUUAUAUUCAGUGGCGAGCUUAACCGAAUAGGGGAGGCGUAGCGAAAGCGAGUCUUAAUAGGGCGUUUAGUCGCUGGGUAUAGACCCGAAACCGGGCGAUCUAUCCAUGGGCAGGUUGAAGGUUAGGUAACACUGACUGGAGGACCGAACCGACUACCGUUGAAAAGUUAGCGGAUGACCUGUGGAUCGGAGUGAAAGGCUAAUCAAGCUCGGAGAUAGCUGGUUCUCCUCGAAAGCUAUUUAGGUAGCGCCUCAUGUAUCACUGUAGGGGGUAGAGCACUGUUUCGGCUAGGGGGUCAUCCCGACUUACCAAACCGAUGCAAACUCCGAAUACCUACAAGUGCCGAGCAUGGGAGACACACGGCGGGUGCUAACGUCCGUCGUGAAAAGGGAAACAACCCAGACCGUCAGCUAAGGUCCCAAAAUCCUGGUUAAGUGGGAAACGAUGUGGGAAGGCUCAGACAGCUAGGAGGUUGGCUUAGAAGCAGCCACCCUUUAAAGAAAGCGUAAUAGCUCACUAGUCGAGUCGGCCUGCGCGGAAGAUGUAACGGGGCUCAAACCAGGUACCGAAGCUACGGGUGUCACCUUAGGGUGACGCGGUAGAGGAGCGUUCUGUAAGCCUGUGAAGGUGAGUUGAGAAGCUUGCUGGAGGUAUCAGAAGUGCGAAUGCUGACAUGAGUAACGACAAUGGGAGUGAAAAACUCCCACGCCGAAAGACCAAGGUUUCCUGCGCAACGUUAAUCGACGCAGGGUUAGUCGGUCCCUAAGGCGAGGCUGAAAAGCGUAGUCGAUGGAAAACAGGUUAAUAUUCCUGUACUUCCGGUUAUUGCGAUGGAGGGACGGAGAAGGCUAGGCCAGCUUGGCGUUGGUUGUCCAAGUUUAAGGUGGUAGGCCGAACACUUAGGCAAAUCCGGGUGUUCAAGGCCGAGAGCUGAUGACGAGCGUUCUUUAGAAUGCGAAGUGGUCGAUGCCAUGCUUCCAGGAAAAGCUUCUAAGCUUCAGAUAACCGGGAACCGUACCCCAAACCGACACAGGUGGUUGGGUAGAGAAUACCAAGGCGCUUGAGAGAACUCGGGUGAAGGAACUAGGCAAAAUGGCACCGUAACUUCGGGAGAAGGUGCGCCGGCCAGGGUGAAGCAUUUACUGCGUAAGCCCCGGCUGGUCGAAGAUACCAGGCCGCUGCGACUGUUUAUUAAAAACACAGCACUCUGCAAACACGAAAGUGGACGUAUAGGGUGUGACGCCUGCCCGGUGCCGGAAGGUUAAUUGAUGGGGUUAGCGCAAGCGAAGCUCUUGAUCGAAGCCCCGGUAAACGGCGGCCGUAACUAUAACGGUCCUAAGGUAGCGAAAUUCCUUGUCGGGUAAGUUCCGACCUGCACGAAUGGCGUAACGAUGGCGGCGCUGUCUCCACCCGAGACUCAGUGAAAUUGAAAUCGCUGUGAAGAUGCAGUGUAUCCGCGGCUAGACGGAAAGACCCCGUGAACCUUUACUAUAGCUUUGCACUGGACUUUGAGCUUGCUUGUGUAGGAUAGGUGGGAGGCUUUGAAGCGUGAACGCCAGUUUGCGUGGAGCCAUCCUUGAAAUACCACCCUGGCAACCUUGAGGUUCUAACUCAGGUCCGUCAUCCGGAUCGAGGACAGUGUAUGGUGGGUAGUUUGACUGGGGCGGUCUCCUCCCAAAGAGUAACGGAGGAGUACGAAGGUGCGCUCAGACCGGUCGGAAAUCGGUCGUAGAGUAUAAAGGCAAAAGCGCGCUUGACUGCGAGACCCACACGUCGAGCAGGUACGAAAGUAGGUCUUAGUGAUCCGGUGGUUCUGUAUGGAAGGGCCAUCGCUCAACGGAUAAAAGGUACUCCGGGGAUAACAGGCUGAUACCGCCCAAGAGUUCAUAUCGACGGCGGUGUUUGGCACCUCGAUGUCGGCUCAUCACAUCCUGGGGCUGAAGCCGGUCCCAAGGGUAUGGCUGUUCGCCAUUUAAAGUGGUACGCGAGCUGGGUUUAGAACGUCGUGAGACAGUUCGGUCCCUAUCUGCCGUGGACGUUUGAGAUUUGAGAGGGGCUGCUCCUAGUACGAGAGGACCGGAGUGGACGAACCUCUGGUGUUCCGGUUGUCACGCCAGUGGCAUUGCCGGGUAGCUAUGUUCGGAAGAGAUAACCGCUGAAAGCAUCUAAGCGGGAAACUUGCCUCAAGAUGAGAUCUCACUGGGAUCUUGAAUCCCCUAAAGGGCCGUCGAAGACUACGACGUUGAUAGGUGGGGUGUGUAAGCGCUGUGAGGCGUUGAGCUAACCCAUACUAAUUGCCCGUGAGGCUUGACCAUAUAACACCCAAGCAAUCUGCCCAGAGCAGAUGCGGUGGUGAAGCGACACAGCCGAAAAUUCGCCAGAUACGCACAAACAUCACAUACCUGAAUUCGCUGCAACGCC
RNAcentral lists this ribosomal RNA (2996 nucleotides) under Pseudomonas sp. URIL14HWK12:I10. RNAcentral describes it as "bacterial LSU rRNA". It matches the Rfam family "Bacterial large subunit ribosomal RNA". The record is from RNAcentral. Lineage: Bacteria; Pseudomonadati; Pseudomonadota; Gammaproteobacteria; Pseudomonadales; Pseudomonadaceae.